GGAUUGUGGCUCAGCGGUAGAGCCUUUGCCUAGCAUGCAUGGGGCCCUGGGUUUGAUCCUCAGCACCA
This 68-nucleotide transfer RNA is filed under the name Marmota monax (woodchuck). RNAcentral's name for it is "tRNA.Ala". The stretch from base 5 to 65 matches the Rfam family "tRNA", at positions 6 to 65 of the family's 71-position model. Rfam says of the family: Transfer RNA (tRNA) molecules are approximately 80 nucleotides in length. Their secondary structure includes four short double-helical elements and three loops (D, anti-codon, and T loops). Lineage: Eukaryota; Metazoa; Chordata; Mammalia; Rodentia; Sciuridae. The record is from RNAcentral.